RNAcentral lists this ribosomal RNA (403 nucleotides) under bacterium. RNAcentral describes it as "partial 16S ribosomal RNA". It matches the Rfam family "Bacterial small subunit ribosomal RNA", at positions 355 to 776 of the family's 1533-position model. The record is from RNAcentral.
UGGGGAAUAUUGCACAAUGGGGGAAACCCUGAUGCAGCGACGCAGCGUGAACGAAGAAGGUAUUCGUAUCGUAAAGUUCUGUCCUAUGGGAAGAUAAUGACAGUACCAUAGAAGAAAGCUCCGGCUAAAUACGUGCCAGCAGCCGCGGUAAUACGUAUGGAGCGAGCGUUGUCCGGAAUUAUUGGGCGUAAAGGGUACGCAGGCGGUUUAAUAAGUCGAAUGUUAAAGAUCGGGGCUCAACCCCGUAAAGCAUUGGAAACUGAUAAACUUGAGUAGUGGAGAGGAAAGUGGAAUUCCUAGUGUAGUGGUGAAAUACGUAGAUAUUAGGAGGAAUACCAGUAGCGAAGGCGACUUUCUGGACACAAACUGACGCUGAGGUACGAAAGCGUGGGGAGCAAACAGG